This 400-nucleotide ribosomal RNA is filed under the name uncultured bacterium. RNAcentral's name for it is "partial 16S ribosomal RNA". It matches the Rfam family "Bacterial small subunit ribosomal RNA", at positions 355 to 745 of the family's 1533-position model. The record is from RNAcentral.
UGGGGAAUUUUGGACAAUGGGCGCAAGCCUGAUCCAGCCGUGCCGCGUGCGGGAAGAAGGCCUUCGGGUUGUAAACCGCUUUUGUCAGGGAAGAAAUCUUCUGAGUUAAUACUUCGGGAGGAUGACGGUACCUGAAGAAUAAGCACCGGCUAACUACGUGCCAGCAGCCGCGGUAAUACGUAGGGUGCAAGCGUUAAUCGGAAUUACUGGGCGUAAAGCGUGCGCAGGCGGUUUUGUAAGACAGAGGUGAAAUCCCCGGGCUCAACCUGGGAACUGCCUUUGUGACUGCAAGGCUUGAGUGCGGCAGAGGGGGGAUGGAAUUCCGCGUGUAGCAGUGAAAUUGCGUAGAUAUGCGGAGGAACACCGAUGGCGAAGGCAAUCCCCUGGGCCUGCACUGACG